RNAcentral lists this ribosomal RNA (830 nucleotides) under uncultured Gammaproteobacteria bacterium. Its description in RNAcentral is "bacterial SSU rRNA". It matches the Rfam family "Bacterial small subunit ribosomal RNA", at positions 28 to 885 of the family's 1533-position model. Lineage: Bacteria; Pseudomonadati; Pseudomonadota; Gammaproteobacteria. The record is from RNAcentral.
AUUGAACGCUGGCGGUAUGCUUAAGACAUGCAAGUCGAACGGUAGCAGGACAAGCUUGCUAGUCGCUGACGAGUGGCGGACGGGUGAGUAACGCGUGGGAAUCUGCCCAGUAGCGGGGAAUAGCCCGGAGAAAUCCGGAUUAAUACCGCAUACGCCCUACGGGGGAAAGGCUUUGGCCACUAUUGGAUGAGCCCGCGUUAGAUUAGCUUGUUGGUGAGGUAAAGGCUCACCAAGGCGACGAUCUAUAGCUGGUCUGAGAGGAUGAUCAGCCACAUCGGGACUGAGACACGGCCCGGACUCCUACGGGAGGCAGCAGUCGGGAAUAUUGGACAAUGGGCGAAAGCCUGAUCCAACAAUACCGCGUGUGUGAAGAAGGCCUGCGGGUUGUAAAGCACUUUCGCUAGGGAAGAUAAUGACGGUACCUAGAUAAGAAGCACCGGCUAACUCCGUGCCAGCAGCCGCGGUAAUACGGAGGGUGCAAGCGUUAAUCGGAAUUACUGGGCGUAAAGCGCGCGUAGGCGGCUUGUUAAGUCAGAUGUGAAAGCCCCGGGCUCAACCUGGGAACUGCAUCUGAUACUGGCAGGCUAGAGUUUGUGAGAGGGAAGUGGAAUUUCCGGUGUAGCGGUGAAAUGCAUAGAGAUCGGAAGGAACAUCAGUGGCGAAGGCGACUUCCUGGCACAAAACUGACGCUGAGGUGCGAAAGCGUGGGUAGCAAACAGGAUUAGAUACCCUGGUAGUCCACGCCGUAAACGAUGUCAACUAGCCGUUGGGAACAUUUAAGUUUUCAGUGGUGCAGCUAACGCAUUAAGUUGACCGCCUGGGGAGUACGG